UGAUCUUAGUUUUCCUGUUUUAUUGUGUGCUUUUUUUUUGAGGGGAGAUGUUUCCAUAUGAAAUUAAAACUUGCCAACCUUCUUAAAAGGAACUGUUUUUAGUGGCAUCUUCUCUUUCAACCCCUUCCUAUUUGAUGCAACAACCCUAAAAGUAAUACGUAGUUUUGUCAAGGUUGGUGUGCCUAAAGAUUAUCUUGGAAAUUUAUUGAAAUAUAAACUCUUGAGAAGGCAGAAAUGGCUCAUUAGUUUAGAGUUUUGACUGCUCUUCUAGGGGACCCAAGUUCAAUGCUCAUUACCCAUGUUGAAUGGCUCACACCCCUUUGUAAUACAGAUUCAAGGAAUCCAACCCUGUCUUCUGGCUUUCAUGGGUAUUUACAUAUAUGUGGCAUUCACUCAAACACACACAGAUACACAAAAAGCUUUUUAAAAUCAUUUUAUGUUCCAUAAUUUGCAAUGGAUUUCAUUUUAUUUCCAAGAAAUACAUUGCUUUUGUUUUGUUGCUUUGUUUUGUAAUUUUUCUAAAUCAACCUUCAGGUGAAUCUAAACUGGUCCCCUAAAAUUUACUUUAUAAGACAUUCUUAUGUUGGCUUUCUCUUCUUCCAAAUAGUACUAGUAAUAUGUACAUAUGCCUAAAAACAUAUUUUAAGACCAGUGAUAAAGAUGAAACUAGUUGCUAUGCCUUUGAGGUCAGUAUGGGACACAAUGACAAAAUGUUUCGAUAGUUUUCUAGUUGAGAAAAUAAAUGCUUCAGAUGCAUAGUCCUAUAAAACAAACCUUC
Molecule: long non-coding RNA, 778 nt
Filed under: Mus musculus (house mouse)
Lineage: Eukaryota; Metazoa; Chordata; Mammalia; Rodentia; Muridae
Description: long non-coding RNA chr10:112348895-112349673
Source: RNAcentral